Molecule: ribosomal RNA, 253 nt
Filed under: uncultured bacterium
Lineage: Bacteria
Description: partial 16S ribosomal RNA
Rfam family: Bacterial small subunit ribosomal RNA
Source: RNAcentral
UACAGAGAGUGCAAGCGUUAAUCGGAAUUACUGGGCGUAAAGCGCGCGUAGGUGGAACGUUAAGUCAGAUGUGAAAGCCCUGGGCUCAACCUAGGAACCGCAUCCGAUACUGGCGUUCUCGAGUAUGGUAGAGGGAAGUGGAAUUUCCGGUGUAGCGGUGAAAUGCGUAGAUAUCGGAAAGAACACCAGUGGCGAAGGCGACUUCCUGGACCAAUACUGACACUGAGGCGCGAAAGCGUGGGGAGCAAACAGG